This is a long non-coding RNA of Populus nigra (black poplar), 1833 nucleotides long. RefSeq lists it as uncharacterized. The record is from RefSeq and is a predicted model, not a curated record. Lineage: Eukaryota; Viridiplantae; Streptophyta; Magnoliopsida; Malpighiales; Salicaceae. The transcript has 7 exons.
CAUGGUAAACAUCGUCUUCUUCUGAUCCAGUGUAAGCUCUACCAUUCAAUUAAAAAAUAUCGAGGCCCAUAAAAAUACGACACCCAUGCCCAAGAAAAACAGCACAACAACCUCCAAGUCCAAGCAGCUAGCCUGCUGAAAACAAAAUAGGCUAGCCGUUGAAAUUCAAAAGUACAUGCCCUUAAACGAUUCCCGUUGAAAAUAUGGAGGGGCAUCUGAGUUCAUAAAAGAGAUCGAAUGCUUGGAAUGUCAUGCUGCAGAGCUAGUCUCUGACAACAUCAGUUCUAGGCCGAGUUAUUGAGGAAGGAUGAUAUUCUAAAGGGACUGUUAUUUCAUCCGAGCCCGUUGCAGGGGUCUGCAUCUAACACUAAGGAUCAAAAGGAUAAAUUGGAGCCGGUAACUCAAGUUCAAGAACAGGUGAGAGAGAUCAGCCCCAGAUGGAGACUCAUAGUUCAGAAGAAAAGCUGGAAAGCACAAAGUCUUGGGCUGAAGAAACUGAAGCUAUUGCAGUACUAGAGGCCCCACAGAUAGCUGAAUCUGGAAAGAUCUAUGCUGAAGAAAAAGAAGUUCAGGCGAAGCUACUUGAGAGAUCUGUUAAAGAGCUAGAAUGCACCACUAAUGUGCUAUAAACAAGGUUGACAUUCUUAAAGCAGAAGCAGAACGACAAAGAAUGCAGAGAGAAGAGCUCGGAGAUUGAGCUUCAUUCAGUAAAACAUCAGGCAUUUGGAGGAGAAGGAGAGAGGCCUUGAAGAUGCACUGAAUCAUAUACAAAUCCUUGAAAGGAAUAUAUCUAACAAGGAAGCAGAGAUUUCCCAGUUCAAGGCACCUAUCACUGAGCUAAAUUUGCAUUCAGAAGCACAGGCUAGUGAGUAUAAACAGAAGUUCAAGGCAUUGGAAGGCAUGGUUGAACAAGUAAAACCUGAGGGCCAUUUCACUCAUAGCAUGAGCUCUUCGUCGAACAAGUCCGAGAAAAAUGCUGCCAAGUCCAGUGGUUCUGAUUCCCCUUUCAAAUGCAUUGGUUUAGGCUUGGCACAACAAAUAAAAUAUGAGAAGGAUGAGGACCUUGCGGCGGCAAGACUGCGUAUUGAAGAGCUAGAAUCCUUAGCAGUUAAUCGACAGAAAGAGUCACUGUCAGAUGAUAAACAAGUGGAGAAUAUUGUAGAAAAAGCUCACCUUGGAGCCUCAAGUAAAGGUUUUUUUAGCUUUGGUAUUGCCUUGGAAACCCACAUGUGAAUUCUCUUAAUGGUUUCCACUGUCCAUAUAGGAGCAGGAAGUUACCAAGCUUAAGCAGCAGCUCAGUGAGUUUAUUGAGGAGAGACAAGGGUAAGCAUCAAAGGUAUUAUCUUCUUCAUAUGGAAUUUAACUUACCGAGUCCCUUUAUACCAGCGAGUGUUUGAUCCACGUGCUAUUCUUUACAAGAAAUCAUCAAAGGUCUUCCUAAGGGAUUAAAGAUUGUUGAUCUUUCAGCGGUAUGCUUUGUGUUCCUGUAUGUUGUCUUGUUUAAGCCAGCAUGCAAUAAUUUGAAAACUCAGAGUUUGCUAAUGUCAAGUCUUAUCUUGUAAUGUGUUUAGGACUUCCGAUCGAUUACGAGAUAUUUCUGAGUAUGAAUGUUGUUUGAGGUAUGAUUUUUCGGCCUAUAUUUUAGGUUGUGGAUAGAUUUUAGUGGCUCACUUGCUUCAGCUUUUCUGCCUAGGAAGAGGUAGGUACAGCAUUUAAUUGAAUUGUAAUGGUAUGGUGGCACUGAUUUCAUAGCAGUUUUCUUUUUCGAGUUUAUGAACUUUGAUCCGUUUGUUUGUGCACAGACGGAAUGAAAUAAAUGUUUUGCUUGUUUAA